GUGAUGGCGAGCGUCGCGGUAGCGGUGCCGCCGUCGUUGCCGUCGCUGACCGUGUAGGUUACUACUGGCGCCGUGCCGUUCCAGUCGGCCACCGGCGUA
Molecule: transfer RNA, 99 nt
Filed under: Escherichia coli
Lineage: Bacteria; Pseudomonadati; Pseudomonadota; Gammaproteobacteria; Enterobacterales; Enterobacteriaceae
Also listed under: 2 other names
Description: tRNA-Gly
Source: RNAcentral